AACUGAUUUCCCGUCUGGACGCACCCACCCUUUAGUUUGUUCCUGGAAGGUUGAGGUGAGCAAUACAAAUUGCAAUCGCGGCCUAGUCACGAUGACAGUAGACGAACUGAGCCGGUUGUCGGAUGAAGAGGGAUGUCUCAAUGGAUAUUAUCGAGUGUCUCCGUUUAUGAAAGAAGCCAAAAUUUGUGGACGUAUUGGAACUGUUCCGCCUUUCCAAUGGCACGUUGACGACCAACAAACUGAAAAUGUCACCAUUAAUUUGAAGCAUAUCGGCCUCAACGAUGGGGAUUCUGAAGGGCUGUCGUUUACAUUAACA
This is a long non-coding RNA of Daphnia magna, 316 nucleotides long. RefSeq lists it as uncharacterized. The record is from RefSeq and is a predicted model, not a curated record. The transcript has 3 exons. Lineage: Eukaryota; Metazoa; Arthropoda; Branchiopoda; Diplostraca; Daphniidae.